This is a long non-coding RNA of Nerophis lumbriciformis (worm pipefish), 593 nucleotides long. RefSeq lists it as uncharacterized. The record is from RefSeq and is a predicted model, not a curated record. Lineage: Eukaryota; Metazoa; Chordata; Actinopteri; Syngnathiformes; Syngnathidae.
CUUGGUUACGGACAAUGUUACAUGUGUUGUUGACUUCCUAAUGUUUAACAAUUAAAUACUUGCCUUACCUGCACAUUGUCCUCCUAUCUCCUGCGUCUUGGGGUCCCAUCACAAUUACCGCAAAAAUGUCAGAAUAUACGACUUGGCUCAGAGAGGAAAGUUUGGAAAAGUCGUGGUAUUUUGGAGGCCUUGACGGAACACAGGCUGUCUGUUCUUGGCUGCUUCUGCGCUGAGCAGGAAGUGGAGGCAGGAGGUGGUCUGGGGUGUGUGGUGCACCUUAAGGACACCUGCAGGAAGAGGACGCAGCACACACAUCGGGAUGAUGAUCCUCGAAAUCAAAUGACGUUUGGAGCGUUCGAUAUCCUAGACUCGUCUGUACUGGCUUAUUAGUCAGCAGGAUUACACCCAAGCAUCUCAAAACCUCAUUGAGCAAUGCGGCAAGGAGCAACUUCAGUGUUUGCUUAGGAUCUUGACAAGAGGACAAACCACAUGUUCCAGGGAGAAAUCCUGGGAUGGCAGCCCCCCAAAACGAAGCUCUCCUGCCCAAUAUACCUCCCCUACUCCCGCCUUGAUUGUGUUUUACUUACCAGGAG